This 1724-nucleotide ribosomal RNA is filed under the name Anoplostethus sp. B NLG-2014. RNAcentral describes it as "partial 16S ribosomal RNA". The stretch from base 1576 to 1724 matches the Rfam family "Archaeal large subunit ribosomal RNA", at positions 2544 to 2693 of the family's 2987-position model. Lineage: Eukaryota; Metazoa; Arthropoda; Insecta; Coleoptera; Scarabaeidae. The record is from RNAcentral.
UAAACUAGGAUUAGAUACCCUAUUAUUGGAAAUGUAAAUUUUUUAUACCUGACUACUAGUAGCUAUGUUCUUGAAAUUUAAAGGAUUUGGCGGUAUUGUAGUCUAUUCAGAGGAACCUGUCCUGUAAUUGAUGAUCCACGUUUAAUUGAACUUGUUUUACAGGUUUGUAUAUCGUCGUAGUUUGAAUGUUUUAUGAGAAAAUGGAAUGUUCAUGAUUUUAGAUGUUUAAAGGAUAUCAGAUCAAGAUACAGCGUAUAGACAAGGAGAGAUGGGUUACAAUAAAUUUAUUUAUAUGGUAAAAUAAGCUAACACUAUUUUUAAACUGGAUUUGAUAGUAAUAAGAUUAAUUUUAAUCUUAUGAUUGAAGCUCUAUAAUAUGCACAUAUCGCCCGUCGCUCCCACUUUAAAGUGGGAUAAGUCGUAACAAAGUAGGUGUACUGGAAAGUGUACCUAGAACGGCAAGUUAGAGCUUGCUACAAAGCAUUUUAUUUACAUUAAAAAGUUAACUGUGAAAAUCAGUUUAAUUUGAAAUUAUACGCUUAUUUUAGGGUUUGAUAAAUAAAAUAUUAUUUUAGUUAGUAAUUUUUAGAACAUUGUGAUACAAUUAUAGUAAACUAGUAUAGUGAUAGGGUGUUGAAAUAUUACUUGAUAUACUUAAUUUGUAACAAGAAGAUUUUAUUUAUUGUACCUUGUGUAUCAGGGUUUAUUAAAAUAGGCUUAUUAUAUGGUUUUCUCGAAUUAGGAAGAGCUAAUAUCGUAUAUAUUUAAUUGUUGCAUAAAUUUUUAUAAUACGAUAUUUGUAAUGAAACGUUAUUCGUUUUCUAAGAUAUCUAGUUUCCAAAGAAAUAAAUUUAAUUUAGUUUGUUGGUUUAAUAGGUUUGUCUAGCUAGUUUCUAUUAACCAAUAAGGAAAUACUAUAAGGGAUAAGCUUUAUAGUAGAUAACUAUAGUAUAUUUAGUAUAGAAAAAUUGGUAGGAUGGAAGUGUCUAUUAUUAGGGUGUUAUAACUAAUUUUUUGUUGAAUAAGAUUUUUAUUAUACUUAGAUUAUUUAUUUGGAUGAUGUACGUAAUAUUUACGUGCAUGUAAUAAUGGUAGAAUUAGUAUAUUUGUAUGUAUUAUUAAGUUUUGGUGUUAGGUUAAGUUAAGGAACUCGGCAAAUUAACUUUUCGCCUGUUUAUUAAAAACAUGUCUUUUUGAUUAUAAUUUAAAGUCUGACCUGCCCAAUGAGGAUUUGAAUGGCCGCGGUAAUUUGACCGUGCAAAGGUAGCAUAAUCAUUAGUUUUUUAAUUGAAAGCUGGAAUGAACGGUUGGACGAGAAAGUGACUGUCUCAAUUUUAUUGAUACUAGAAUUUUAUCUUUGAGUUAGAAAGCUCAAAUUUUUUUGAAAGACGAGAAGACCCUAUAGAAUUUUAUAUUUGUGUGUGUAAAGGAUUUAUGGUAUCUUUAUUUUUUUAUGCAUCUAAAUAUUUUGUUGGGGCGACAGAAAAAUUGGUUUAACUUUUUUUAUGUAUUAAAACAUGGGUUUAUGAUUUUUUGAUCCAUUUAAGUAUGAUUAUAAGAUUUAAUUACCUUAGGGAUAACAGCGUAAUUUUUUUUGAGAGUUCUUAUCGAAAGAAGAGUUUGCGACCUCGAUGUUGGAUUAAAAUUAACUUUUGGUGUAGAAGCUAAAUGGUUAGGUCUGUUCGACCUUUAAAAUUUUACAUGAUCUGAGUUCAAACCGGAGA